Molecule: ribosomal RNA, 253 nt
Filed under: uncultured bacterium
Lineage: Bacteria
Description: partial 16S ribosomal RNA
Rfam family: Bacterial small subunit ribosomal RNA
Source: RNAcentral
CACGUAGGAGGCGAGCGUUGUCCGGAAUCAUUGGGCGUAAAGAGCGCGCAGGCGGCUUGGCAAGUCGGGUGUGAAAUCCCGGGGCUCAACCCCGUGACUGCAUUCGAUACUGUCAGGCUAGAGGUAGGUAGGGGAGAUCGGAAUUCCUGGUGUAGCGGUGAAAUGCGCAGAUAUCAGGAGGAACACCGGUGGCGAAGGCGGUUCUCUGGGCCUGUACUGACGCUGAGGAACGAAAGCGUGGGGAGCGAACAGG